Molecule: ribosomal RNA, 207 nt
Filed under: uncultured bacterium
Lineage: Bacteria
Description: partial 16S ribosomal RNA
Rfam family: Bacterial small subunit ribosomal RNA
Source: RNAcentral
CGCGUAGGCGGCCAUGCAAGUCUGGAGUGGAAGUCCACCUUUCAAGGGUGGAAUUGCUUUGGAAACUGCGUGGCUGGAGUGCAGGAGAGGUUAUCGGAAUUCCCGGUGUAGCGGUGAAAUGCGUAGAGAUCGGGAGGAACACCAGUGGCGAAGGCGGGUAACUGGACUGCAACUGACGCUGAGGCGCGAAAGUGUGGGGAGCAAACA